UGGAGCACAGAAUAGACACCCAUCCCCCGAAUGGCAAUGGUGUUGGCAAAUGUGAGCUUCUCUAGGUCUGUUAAUAUCGAAAACACCUGGGAUAAAUGAAUUUUAUAGUUUUCACCUUGGUACAUAGCCAUUAUGUAAGCUCCUAAUGCAUCUCGGACAUCCACGUGCUAUUAUACACAAGGGGGACAGUCUGGAAGAACACACCCUGUUCACAGCACCGCUAUUAAACAGAACUACAUCCCUCUACCUUAAAAAGAACACUUCAGAGCAGCCUGAAAACCCUGAAAAAAUAUCGAUAAUGGCAGGCAGUCAGGCAACAGUGGGCAGGCUGGGCCCUUCUGACACACCAGGGGAGUUACCAUGAAAUUGCAGGAAGAUGGAGAUGAAAAUGACUUAAAGAUUGCAGCAGAUUCUGCCAGGUCUGCUCCAGAAAUCUACUUCUGCAUCUUGGGAAGCCCAUCUUAACUGCAUUUCUUAGCUUUCCUUGGAGUUAGUGUGGCCAUGCGAUGGAGUUCUACCAAGAACAUGAGCAGGAGCGAUGUGGACCAUUUUGGAGCCACGGCCUUUCAGCAACAUGUUCGCCCUUGCCAUGCUCUCUCUGCCCAUCUGGUAGACCAGAAGUAAAUGACAACAAGCACGGAGUGGGCAGCAGAGUCACAAAAUGGAAGCUGCCUGGUUCUCUGAAUCACCAUGUGAGAAAAGCUGCCCACCGACUAAGAAUGCCUGCUUUGGGCUGUUACAUGAACAAAAACUAAAUAUGUAUUGUGUCUGAGCCACUGCACAUUUUUAGGGUUUAUCUGUCACAAAGGGAGUCCAAUCCCAUAGACAGUGGCAUAACCAGGUCAAGAAACAGGUAUGAGGCCUCUCAUAUACUAAAGAGAUUUACAAAACAGAUGACUGUGACUGACCACACGGAAACUCCACAGCACAACUUGUGAAUUCUUCCAAGGUGCUACCUGCUGCUGUGCCUGGAGCCCAGGGCCAGCCUCCCUCAGUCCAGGGGUACUACUGCAUAGCAUUUGUGGAAGUGAGAUCUAAAGAUUAAGUAAAAGAAUGAUUCAGCAGAUUAUAAAGUGUUGAAUAGGACAGUGAACAUCUGAGUUAUAAGAUAUAUCAAAAUACUGGGCAACAUAAGAGGAAGAAAUGAAAAAUGUUUUUAGAGCUUCUUGGCAAAAUAUGCAUUGCUCUUUGAUAUGGGUUUUUAUUGCCCAUCUAAACAGUUCAUAAUACAAAUCAAAUUUAUGUCAAUAAGGAGCCAAGAAACUAUAAUUCAGAUGACCAUUUAUUUAUAGCAGGGAUAGCUCUAAGUAUUAAGUUCCUUUUUAGGUUUCCUAAGUGAGGACUGUUAGAUA
Long non-coding RNA from Prionailurus viverrinus (fishing cat), 1352 nucleotides. RefSeq lists it as uncharacterized. The record is from RefSeq and is a predicted model, not a curated record. The transcript is spliced from 4 exons. NCBI's taxonomy places the organism in Eukaryota, Metazoa, Chordata, Mammalia, Carnivora, Felidae.